This 77-nucleotide transfer RNA is filed under the name Candidatus Hydrogenedentota bacterium. Its description in RNAcentral is "tRNA-Arg". It matches the Rfam family "tRNA". Rfam says of the family: Transfer RNA (tRNA) molecules are approximately 80 nucleotides in length. Their secondary structure includes four short double-helical elements and three loops (D, anti-codon, and T loops). Further hydrogen bonds mediate the characteristic L-shaped molecular structure. tRNAs have two regions of fundamental functional importance: the anti-codon, which is responsible for specific mRNA codon recognition, and the 3' end, to which the tRNAs corresponding amino acid is attached (by aminoacyl-tRNA synthetases). tRNAs cope with the degeneracy of the genetic code in two manners: having more than one tRNA (with a specific anti-codon) for a particular amino acid; and 'wobble' base-pairing, i.e. permitting non-standard base-pairing at the 3rd anti-codon position. Lineage: Bacteria; Pseudomonadati; Candidatus Hydrogenedentota. The record is from RNAcentral. RNAcentral also lists the same sequence under 1 other name.
GCGCCUGUAGCUCAGGAGGAUAGAGCAUCGGCCUUCUAAGCCGAGGGUCGUGCGUUCGAAUCGCACCAGGCGCGCCA